GAUGAACGCUGGCGGCGUGCCUAAUACAUGCAAGUCGAGCGAACAGACGAGGAGCUUGCUCCUCUGACGUUAGCGGCGGACGGGUGAGUAACACGUGGAUAACCUACCUAUAAGACUGGGAUAACUUCGGGAAACCGGAGCUAAUACCGGAUAAUAUAUUGAACCGCAUGGUUCAAUAGUGAAAGACGGUUUUGCUGUCACUUAUAGAUGGAUCCGCGCCGCAUUAGCUAGUUGGUAAGGUAACGGCUUACCAAGGCAACGAUGCGUAGCCGACCUGAGAGGUUGAUCCGCGCUACGGUAACUGUGACACGCUCCAGACUCCUACGGGAGGCAGCAGUAGGCAAUCUUCCGCAAUGGGCGCAAGCGGAACGUAGUAAUGCCGCGUGAGUGUAUAAGGUCUUCGGAUCGUAAAAUUCUGUUUUUAGGGAAGAACAAAUGUGUAAGUAACUAUGCACAUCUUGACGGUACCUAAUCAGAAAGCCACGGCUAACUACGUG
RNAcentral lists this ribosomal RNA (497 nucleotides) under uncultured bacterium. RNAcentral's name for it is "partial 16S ribosomal RNA". It matches the Rfam family "Bacterial small subunit ribosomal RNA", at positions 28 to 507 of the family's 1533-position model. The record is from RNAcentral.